GAUGAACGCUGGCGGCGUGCUUAACACAUGCAAGUCGAACGAUGAAGCCCAGCUUGCUGGGUGGAUUAGUGGCGAACGGGUGAGUAACACGUGAGUAACCUGCCCUUGACUCUGGGAUAAGCCUGGGAAACUGGGUCUAAUACUGGAUAUGACUUCUCAUCGCAUGGUGGGGGGUGGAAAGAUUUAUUGGUCUUGGAUGGACUCGCGGCCUAUCAGCUUGUUGGUGAGGUAAUGGCUCACCAAGGCGACGACGGGUAGCCGGCCUGAGAGGGUGACCGGCCACACUGGGACUAAGACACGGCCCAGACUCCUACGGGAGACAGCAGUGGGGAAUAUUGCACAAUGGGCGCAAGCCUGAUGCAGCGACGCCGCGUGAGGGAUGACGGCCUUCGGGUUGUAAACCUCUUUCAGUAGGGAAGAAGCGAGAGUGACGGUACCUGCAGAAGAAGCGCCGGCUAACUACGUG
Molecule: ribosomal RNA, 466 nt
Filed under: uncultured bacterium
Lineage: Bacteria
Description: partial 16S ribosomal RNA
Rfam family: Bacterial small subunit ribosomal RNA
Source: RNAcentral